Molecule: microRNA precursor, 106 nt
Filed under: Paramuricea clavata
Lineage: Eukaryota; Metazoa; Cnidaria; Anthozoa; Malacalcyonacea; Plexauridae
Source: RNAcentral
AACGAGGGGUAUUCCACAAAAAAUUACCCUGAGGGAUGAAAUAUGCCGAGGGCGAAGCCCGAGGAAUAUUUCAUCCCGCAGGGUAAUUUUUUGUGGAAUACCCCGA